GGCGUGCUUAACACAUGCAAGUCGAACGGAAAGGCCCUGCUUGCAGGGUACUCGACGUGGCGAACGGGUGAGUAACACGUGGGUGAUAUGCCCUGCAAUUCGGGAUAAGCCUGGGAAACUGGGUCUUAUACAGGAUAGGAGCCAUUUUUAGUGUGAUGGUUGGAAAGUUUUUGUCGGUGUAGGAUGAGCUCGCGGCCUAUCAGCUUGUUGGUGGGGUAAUGGCCUACCGAGGCGGCGACCGGUAGCCGGCCUGAGAGGGUGGACGGCCACAUUAGGUGUCUGAGAUACGGGCCCAGAUCUGCGUAUCGGGACGGCAGUCAGUCGGGGAAUACUUGCACAAGUGGGCGCAAGCCUGAUGCAGCGACGCCGCGUGGGGGAUGACGGCCUUCGGGUUGUACACUCCUUUCGCUAGGGACGAAGCUUUGUGUGACGGUACCUAUAUGAGAAGCACCGGCUAACUACGUGCCAUCAGCCGCGGUA
Molecule: ribosomal RNA, 480 nt
Filed under: uncultured Actinomycetales bacterium
Lineage: Bacteria; Bacillati; Actinomycetota; Actinomycetes; Actinomycetales
Description: bacterial SSU rRNA
Rfam family: Bacterial small subunit ribosomal RNA
Source: RNAcentral